UACGUAGGGUGCAAGCGUUAUCCGGAAUUAUUGGGCGUAAAGAGCUCGUAGGCGGUUUGUCGCGUCUGCUGUGAAAACUGGAGGCUCAACCUCCAGCCUGCAGUGGGUACGGGCAGACUAGAGUGCGGUAGGGGAGAUUGGAAUUCCUGGUGUAGCGGUGGAAUGCGCAGAUAUCAGGAGGAACACCAAUGGCGAAGGCAGAUCUCUGGGCCUGCACUGACGCUCAUGCACGAAAGCGUGGGGAGCAAACAGG
Molecule: ribosomal RNA, 253 nt
Filed under: uncultured bacterium
Lineage: Bacteria
Description: partial 16S ribosomal RNA
Rfam family: Bacterial small subunit ribosomal RNA
Source: RNAcentral